Molecule: ribosomal RNA, 386 nt
Filed under: uncultured bacterium
Lineage: Bacteria
Description: bacterial SSU rRNA
Rfam family: Bacterial small subunit ribosomal RNA
Source: RNAcentral
AUUGAACGCUGGCGGCAUGCUUUACACAUGCAAGUCGAGCGGCAGCGCGGGGGCAACCCUGGCGGCGAGCGGCGAACGGGUGAGUAAUGCAUCGGAACGUACCCUGGAGUGGGGGGAUAACGCCGCGAAAGCGGCGCUAAUACCGCAUAUGCUCUGAGGAGGAAAGUGGGGGACCUGCAAGGGCCUCACGCUCUGGGAGCGGCCGAUGUCCGAUUAGCUAGUUGGUGGGGUAAAGGCUUACCAAGGCGACGAUCGGUAGCUGGUCUGAGAGGAUGAUCAGCCACACUGGGACUGAGACACGGCCCAGACUCCUACGGGAGGCAGCAGUGGGGGAAUUUUGGACAAUGGGGGCAACCCUGAUCCAGCCAUGCCGCGUGCGGGAAGAA